Molecule: small RNA, 317 nt
Filed under: uncultured bacterium
Lineage: Bacteria
Description: bacterial SSU rRNA
Rfam family: Bacterial small subunit ribosomal RNA
Source: RNAcentral
GCUGUAGCAAUACAGAGUGUCAAACGGGUGAGUAACGCGUGGGUGACCUACCCUCGAGUGGGGGAUAACAAUCCGAAAGGAUUGGUAAUACCGCAUGACAUCCUGUCCUUGGACGGAUGGAGAUCAAAGCCGGGGAUCGCAAGACCUGGCGCUUGAGGAGGGGCCCGCGGCCUAUCAGCUUGUUGGCGGGGUAACGUCCCACCAAGGCGAGGGAAAAUAGCUGGUCUGAGAGGAUGGCCAGCCACAUUGGGAUUGACAUCCUUCCCAGACGAAUACGCGAGGCAUCAGGUCGAGCGUGUGGAUACUCGAGUCCAUCC